Molecule: ribosomal RNA, 468 nt
Filed under: uncultured bacterium
Lineage: Bacteria
Description: partial 16S ribosomal RNA
Rfam family: Bacterial small subunit ribosomal RNA
Source: RNAcentral
GACGAACGCUGGCGGCGUGCUUAACACAUGCAAGUCGAACGGAAAGGCCCUACUUUGGUGGGGUGCUCGAGUGGCGAACGGGUGAGUAACACGUGAGUAACCUGCCCUUCACUUUGGGAUAACUUUAGGAAACUGGGGCUAAUACCGGAUAGGAGCUCCUGCUGCAUGGUGGGGGUUGGAAAGUUUCGGCGGGUGGGGUUGGCUUCGCGGCUUAUCAGCUUGUUGGUGGGGUAUUGGCUUACCAAGCCGUUGACGGGUAGCCGGCCGGGGGGGGUGACCGGCCACAUUGGGACGGGGAUACGGCCCGAACUCCUACGGGAGGCAGAGGUGGGGAUUAUGGCACAAGGGGCGGAAGCCGGAUGCAGCAAGGCCGCUGGCGGGAUGACGGCCUUCGGGUUGUAAACCGCUUUCGCCGGGGACGAAGCGUGAGUGACGGUAAUUGGUAAAGAAGCACCGGCUAACUACGUG